AUUGAACGCUGGCGGCAUGCUUUACACAUGCAAGUCGAACGGCAGCACGGGAAAGGCUUGCCUUUUCUGGUGGCGAGUGGCGAACGGGUGAGUAACACAUCGGAACAUGCCCUGUAAUGGGGGAUAACUGAACGAAAGUUCAGCUAAUACCGCAUAAUAUCUGAGGAUGAAAGCUGGGGACCAUGAGAGUGGCCUGGCGUUAUAGGAUUGGCCGAUGGCUAAUUAGCUAGUUGGUGGGGUAAAGGCUUACCAAGGCGACGAUUAGUAGCUGGUCUGAGAGGAUGAUCAGCCACACUGGGACUGAGACACGGCCCAGACUCCUACGGGAGGCAGCAGUGGGGAAUUUUGGACAAUGGGCGCAAGCCUGAUCCAGCUAUGCCGCGUGAGUGAAGAAGGCCUUAGGGUUGUAAAGCUCUUUCGGUCGGGAAGAAGUGUGUUAGUUUAAGAGAUGAGCAUAUUGACGGUACCGACAUAAGAAGCACCGGCUAACUACGUGCCAGCAGCCGCGGUAAUACGUAGGGUGCGAGCGUUAAUCGGAAUUACUGGGCGUAAAGGGUGCGCAGGCGGUUUCAUAAGUCAGAUGUGAAAGCCCCGGGCUUAACCUGGGAAUUGCGUUUGAAACUAUGAGACUAGAGUACAGCAGAGGGGGGUGGAACUCCAUGUGUAGCAGUGAAAUGCGUAGAUAUAUGGAAGAACAUCGAUGGCGAAGGCAGCCCCCUGGGUUGAUACUGACGCUCAUGCACGAAAGCGUGGGGAGCAAACAGGAUUAGAUACCCUGGUAGUCCACGCCCUAAACGAUGUCAACUAGUUGUUGGGGGGGGAGACCCCCUUAGUAACGAAGCCAACGCGUGAAGUUGACCGCCUGGGGAGUACGGCCGCAAGGUUAAAACUCAAAGGAAUUGACGGGGACCCGCACAAGCGGUGGAUGAUGUGGAUUAAUUCGAUGCAACGCGAAGAACCUUACCUACCCUUGACAUGUCAGGGAGCCUUGAGAGAUCGAGGUGUGCCCGAAAGGGAACCUGAACACAGGUGCUGCAUGGCUGUCGUCAGCUCGUGUCGUGAGAUGUUGGGUUAAGUCCCGCAACGAGCGCAACCCUUGUCAUUAGUUGCUACGAAAGGGCACUCUAAUGAGACUGCCGGUGACAAGCCGGAGGAAGGUGGGGAUGACGUCAAGUCCUCAUGGCCCUUACGGGUAGGGCUUCACACGUCAUACAAUGGUCGGUACAGAGGGUAGCCAACCCGAGAGGGGGAGCCAAUCUCAGAAAGCCGGUCGUAGUCCGGAUUGCAGUCUGCAACUCGACUGCAUGAAGUCGGAAUCGCUAGUAAUCGCGGAUCAGAAUGUCGCGGUGAAUACGUUCCCGGGUCU
Molecule: ribosomal RNA, 1366 nt
Filed under: uncultured bacterium
Lineage: Bacteria
Description: 16S ribosomal RNA
Rfam family: Bacterial small subunit ribosomal RNA
Source: RNAcentral